GUCCCCGUAGCUCAAUGGAUAGAGUGCUUGGCUUCGAACCAAGAGGUUAGGGGUUCAAAUCCUCUCGGGGACG
Molecule: transfer RNA, 73 nt
Filed under: Candidatus Sungiibacteriota bacterium
Lineage: Bacteria; Candidatus Sungiibacteriota
Description: tRNA-Arg
Rfam family: tRNA
About the family: Transfer RNA (tRNA) molecules are approximately 80 nucleotides in length. Their secondary structure includes four short double-helical elements and three loops (D, anti-codon, and T loops).
Source: RNAcentral